UCCGAUUUAAAAGGAAUCGAUCGAACUCAGUCGUCCCCGAGGUAAGCAGCCUUUGGGUGUGAUUAUGNGGAGCGUGAGGAGUUAAUCACCCUCAUCUUUGCAUANUCGUGCACUUUGGGGGUACUUGCUCCGUGUCGGUAGGUUAACAUCAAUUUUGAUCAUCAUAAAAUGAUCGGAGGAAUGUAGCUUCGAUCUCGUAUUGAAGNGUUAUAGCCUUUGGCAGAUGUGAUGAUCGGGAUUGAGGAUUGCAACGGAUACNCUUCGGGGCUACCCGUACCGAUCUCUGAAAGUUGCUCUGGCGCUGAAAGCUUGCUUAUAGGUCAUCAAAGUUGACGUUCAAUAGGUUAGAACGGGAUAAACUUCGUUAAGGAUGUUGACGUA
Molecule: ribosomal RNA, 381 nt
Filed under: uncultured Glomeromycotina
Lineage: Eukaryota; Fungi; Glomeromycota
Description: LSU rRNA
Source: RNAcentral